This 599-nucleotide ribosomal RNA is filed under the name Mortierella sp. RNAcentral's name for it is "LSU rRNA". It matches the Rfam family "Eukaryotic large subunit ribosomal RNA", at positions 103 to 624 of the family's 3401-position model. Lineage: Eukaryota; Fungi; Mortierellomycota; Mortierellomycetes; Mortierellales; Mortierellaceae. The record is from RNAcentral.
AUGAGCUCAAAUUUGAAAUCUGGCUGGUUUACUAGUCCGAGUUGUAAUUUAAAGAAGCGUUUUCGGUGGCAGCCUGGGUAUAAAUCCUUUGGAAUAGGGUAUCAUAGAGGGUGAGAAUCCCGUCUUUGACCUAGUGCAUGCUACUAUGUGAUACGUUUUCAAAGAGUCGAGUUGUUUGGGAAUGCAGCUCAAAAUGGGUGGUAAAUUUCAUCUAAAGCUAAAUAUUGGCGAGAGACCGAUAGCGAACAAGUACCGUGAGGGAAAGAUGAAAAGAACUUUGAAAAGAGAGUUAAACAGUGCGUGAAAUUGUUGAAAGGGAAACGUUUGACACCAGUCAUGUGGGUGGAAAAUCAGUCUUUUGCAUUGGGGAGUUGUAAGGGUUCGGACCGCAAGGCCGGCUUUUGCUUCAUCUUUGGUGUAAGUGAUGCACUUUUUCAUCUACAGGUCAACAUCAGUUUCUUUUGCUGGACAAAACUCCGAGAGAAGGUAGCAGCUUAGGCUGUGUUAUAGCUCUGGAGCGAUACAGUGAAGGGGACUGAGGUUUUCGCAGCGUGUGCUCUCGGGCAAGGCUGGAUGGGUGCUAUGGGAUCGUUCGGGGU